CGGGCGUUAAGUUGCAGGGUAUAGACCCGAAACCCGGUGAUCUAGCCAUGGGCAGGUUGAAGGUUGGGUAACACUAACUGGAGGACCGAACCGACUAAUGUUGAAAAAUUAGCGGAUGACCUGUGGCUGGGGGUGAAAGGCCAAUCAAACCGGGAGAUAGCUGGUUCUCCCCGAAAGCUAUUUAGGUAGCGCCUCGUGAAUUCAUCUCCGGGGGUAGAGCACUGUUUCGGCUAGGGGGCCAUCCCGGCUUACCAACCCGAUGCAAACUGCGAAUACCGGAGAAUGUUAUCACGGGAGACACACGGCGGGUGCUAACGUCCGUCGUGAAGAGGGAAACAACCCAGACCGCCAGCUAAGGUCCCAAAGUCAUGGUUAAGUGGGAAACGAUGUGGGAAGGCCCAGACAGCCAGGAUGUUGGCUUAGAAGCAGCCAUCAUUUAAAGAAAGCGUAAUAGCUCACUGGUCGAGUCGGCCUGCGCGGAAGAUGUAACGGGGCUAAACCAUGCACCGAAGCUGCGGCAGCGACACUCAGGUGUUGUUGGGUAGGGGAGCGUUCUGUAAGCCUGUGAAGGUGUGUCGUGAGGCAUGCUGGAGGUAUCAGAAGUGCGAAUGCUGACAUAAGUAACGAUAAAGCGGGUGAAAAGCCCGCUCGCCGGAAGACCAAGGGUUCCUGUCCAACGUUAAUCGGGGCAGGGUGAGUCGACCCCUAAGGCGAGGCCGAAAGGCGUAGUCGAUGGGAAACGGGUUAAUAUUCCCGUACUUGGUGUUACUGCGAAGGGGGGACGGAGAAGGCUAUGUUGGCCGGGCGACGGUUGUCCCGGUUUAAGCGUGUAGGUGUGUGUUCCAGGUAAAUCCGGUUCACUUUAACACUGAGGCGUGAUGACGAGGCACUACGGUGCUGAAGCAACAAAUGCCCUGCUUCCAGGAAAAGCCUCUAAGCAUCAGGUAACAUCAAAUCGUACCCCAAACCGACACAGGUGGUCAGGUAGAGAAUACCAAGGCGCUUGAGAGAACUCGGGUGAAGGAACUAGGCAAAAUGGUGCCGUAACUUCGGGAGAAGGCACGCUGACACGUAGGUGAAGUGAUUUACUCAUGGAGCUGAAGUCAGUCGAAGAUACCAGCUGGCUGCAACUGUUUAUUAAAAACACAGCACUGUGCAAACACGAAAGUGGACGUAUACGGUGUGACGCCUGCCCGGUGCCGGAAGGUUAAUUGAUGGGGUCAGCGCAAGCGAAGCUCCUGAUCGAAGCCCCGGUAAACGGCGGCCGUAACUAUAACGGUCCUAAGGUAGCGAAAUUCCUUGUCGGGUAAGUUCCGACCUGCACGAAUGGCGUAAUGAUGGCCAGGCUGUCUCCACCCGAGACUCAGUGAAAUUGAACUCGCUGUGAAGAUGCAGUGUACCCGCGGCAAGACGGAAAGACCCCGUGAACCUUUACUAUAGCUUGACACUGAACAUUGAGCCUUGAUGUGUAGGAUAGGUGGGAGGCUUUGAAGCGUGGACGCCAGUCUGCGUGGAGCCGACCUUGAAAUACCACCCUUUAAUGUUUGAUGUUCUAACGUGGACCCGUGAUCCGGGUUGCGGACAGUGUCUGGUGGGUAGUUUGACUGGGGCGGUCUCCUCCUAAAGAGUAACGGAGGAGCACGAAGGUUGGCUAAUCCUGGUCGGACAUCAGGAGGUUAGUGCAAUGGCAUAAGCCAGCUUGACUGCGAGCGUGACGGCGCGAGCAGGUGCGAAAGCAGGUCAUAGUGAUCCGGUGGUUCUGAAUGGAAGGGCCAUCGCUCAACGGAUAAAAGGUACUCCGGGGAUAACAGGCUGAUACCGCCCAAGAGUUCAUAUCGACGGCGGUGUUUGGCACCUCGAUGUCGGCUCAUCACAUCCUGGGGCUGAAGUAGGUCCCAAGGGUAUGGCUGUUCGCCAUUUAAAGUGGUACGCGAGCUGGGUUUAGAACGUCGUGAGACAGUUCGGUCCCUAUCUGCCGUGGGCGCUGGAGAACUGAGGGGGGCUGCUCCUAGUACGAGAGGACCGGAGUGGACGCAUCACUGGUGUUCGGGUUGUCAUGCCAAUGGCACUGCCCGGUAGCUAAAUGCGGAAGAGAUAAGUGCUGAAAGCAUCUAAGCACGAAACUUGCCCCGAGAUGAGUUCUCCCUGAGACUUAGAGUCUCCUGAAGGAACGUUGAAGACGACGACGUUGAUAGGCCGGGUGUGUAAGCGCAGCGAUGCGUUGAGCUAACCGGUACUAAUGAACCGUGAGGCUUAACCUU
Molecule: ribosomal RNA, 2261 nt
Filed under: Salmonella enterica subsp. enterica serovar Daytona
Lineage: Bacteria; Pseudomonadati; Pseudomonadota; Gammaproteobacteria; Enterobacterales; Enterobacteriaceae
Description: partial 23S ribosomal RNA
Rfam family: Bacterial large subunit ribosomal RNA
Source: RNAcentral